This 507-nucleotide ribosomal RNA is filed under the name uncultured bacterium. RNAcentral's name for it is "partial 16S ribosomal RNA". It matches the Rfam family "Bacterial small subunit ribosomal RNA", at positions 28 to 507 of the family's 1533-position model. The record is from RNAcentral.
GACGAACGCUGGUGGCGUGCCUAAUACAUGCAAGUCGAACGCAUUUUCUUUCACCGUAGCUUGCUACACCGAAAGAAAAUGAGUGGCGAACGGGUGAGUAACACGUGGGUAACCUGCCCAUCAGCGGGGGAUAACACUUGGAAACAGGUGCUAAUACCGCAUAAUUCCAUUUACCGCAUGGUAGAUGGAUGAAAGGCGCUUUUGCGUCACUGAUGGAUGGACCCGCGGUGCAUUAGCUAGUUGGUGGGGUAACGGCCUACCAAGGCUGCGAUGCAUAGCCGACCUGAGAGGGUGAUCGGCCACACUGGGACUGAGACACGGCCCAGACUCCUACGGGAGGCAGCAGUAGGGAAUCUUCGGCAAUGGACGCAAGUCUGACCGAGCAACGCCGCGUGAGUGAAGAAGGUUUUCGGAUCGUAAAACUCUGUUGUUAGAGAAGAACAAGGAUGAGAGUGGAAAGUUCAUCCCUUGACGGUAUCUAACCAGAAAGCCACGGCUAACUACGUG